This 429-nucleotide ribosomal RNA is filed under the name Acidobacteriota bacterium. Its description in RNAcentral is "Acidobacteria bacterium partial 16S ribosomal RNA". It matches the Rfam family "Bacterial small subunit ribosomal RNA", at positions 355 to 776 of the family's 1533-position model. The record is from RNAcentral. Lineage: Bacteria; Pseudomonadati; Acidobacteriota.
UGGGGAAUUUUGGACAAUGGGGGAAACCCUGAUCCAGCCAUCCCGCGUGUGCGAUGAAGGCCUUCGGGUUGUAAAGCACUUUUGGCAGGAAAGAAACGUCAUGGGUUAAUACCCCGUGAAACUGACGGUACCUGCAGAAUAAGCACCGGCUAACUACGUGCCAGCAGCCGCGGUAAUACGUAGGGUGCAAGCGUUAAUCGGAAUUACUGGGCGUAAAGCGUGCGCAGGCGGUUCGGAAAGAAAGAUGUGAAAUCCCAGAGCUCAACUUAGGAACUGCAUUUUUAACUACCGGGCUAGAGUGUGUCAGAGGGGGGUGGAAUGCCGCGUGUAGCAGUGAAAUGCGUAGAUAUGCGGAGGAACACCGAUGGCGAAGGCAGCCUCCUGGGAUAACACUGACGCUCAUGCACGAAAGCGUGGGGAGCAAACAGG